UAGGGAACUCCCUGGGAGGUCAGUGGAAGACACUUCCUAGGAAUGAUCAUGUGUUGCCUGACAUCACUAAGAGGUGGGAUUAAGCCUAGCAGACAAGAGUCACAGAUGUCUUCCCUAGAAACCCACAGAAAGAAGACUGGAGGUUCAAUUCAACUAGGCAGACAAAAAGCCCCAAGUUUUCAGAGACCUUAGAAUGAAAAGGAAAGUCUCUUCUCUGAAAUCUCAUCGAAGAGGGGCAAAGCAGAAUGAGUGUGGGGAAGAGGCAGCAGUGUCUAUGAUGGUGUCUGCAACCUGGAACUGAUCUAACUGCAAACCAAACUUUGCAGUAGAAUCUCAUAUAAGUCAUGAUUUCAUAGCAGCCAAUCUUGAGGUCUAGCUACAAUAAAUCAGUAAAUGGUU
Ornithorhynchus anatinus (platypus) is the source of this 399-nucleotide long non-coding RNA. RefSeq lists it as uncharacterized. The record is from RefSeq and is a predicted model, not a curated record. The transcript has 4 exons. NCBI's taxonomy places the organism in Eukaryota, Metazoa, Chordata, Mammalia, Monotremata, Ornithorhynchidae.